AUCGAACGCUGGCGGCAGGCUUAACACAUGCAAGUAGAGCGAGCGGCGGACGGGUGAGUAAUGUCUGGGAAACUGCCUGAUGGAGGGGGAUAACUACUGGAAACGGUAGCUAAUACCGCAUACCAUCAGUUGUGCCCAGAUGGGAUUAGCUAGUAGGUGGGGUAAUGGCUCACCUAGGCGAAGAUCCCUAGCUGGUCUGAGAGGAUGACCAGCCACAGUGUAACUGAGACACGGUCCAGACUCCUAGGAGGGGGAGCAGGGGGGAAUAUGGCAAUAGGGGCGCGAGCCUGAUGGAGCCACGCCGCGUGUAUGAAGAAGGCCUGGGGGUUGUAAAGUACUUUCAGCGGGGAGGCGUUCCUCGCAGAAGAAGCACCGGCUAACUCCGUGCCAGCAGCCGGGGUAUAC
RNAcentral lists this ribosomal RNA (405 nucleotides) under uncultured bacterium. RNAcentral describes it as "partial 16S ribosomal RNA". It matches the Rfam family "Bacterial small subunit ribosomal RNA", at positions 29 to 526 of the family's 1533-position model. The record is from RNAcentral.